Molecule: ribosomal RNA, 510 nt
Filed under: uncultured bacterium
Lineage: Bacteria
Description: partial 16S ribosomal RNA
Rfam family: Bacterial small subunit ribosomal RNA
Source: RNAcentral
GACGAACGCUGGCGGCGUGCUUAACACAUGCAAGUCGAACGAAGAGCGACGGAAGCUUGCUUCUAUCAAUCUUAGUGGCGAACGGGUGAGUAACGCGUAAUCAACCUGCCCUUCAGAGGGGGACAACAGUUGGAAACGACUGCUAAUACCGCAUACGAUCUAAUCUCGGCAUCGAGGAUGGAUGAAAGGUGGCCUCUACAUGUAAGCUAUCACUGAAGGAGGGGAUUGCGUCUGAUUAGCUAGUUGGAGGGGUAACGGCCCACCAAGGCGAUGAUCAGUAGCCGGUCUGAGAGGAUGAACGGCCACAUUGGGACUGAGACACGGCCCAGACUCCUACGGGAGGCAGCAGUGGGGAAUCUUCCGCAAUGGACGAAAGUCUGACGGAGCAACGCCGCGUGAGUGAUGACGGCCUUCGGGUUGUAAAGCUCUGUUAAUCGGGACGAAAGGCCUCCUUGCGAAUAGUGAGAAGGAUUGACGGUACCGGAAGAGAAAGCCACGGCUAACUACGUG